Molecule: ribosomal RNA, 253 nt
Filed under: uncultured bacterium
Lineage: Bacteria
Description: partial 16S ribosomal RNA
Rfam family: Bacterial small subunit ribosomal RNA
Source: RNAcentral
UACGAAGGGGGCUAGCGUUGCUCGGAAUUACUGGGCGUAAAGCGCACGUAGGCGGAUUGUUAAGUCGGGGGUGAAAUCCUGGGGCUCAACUCCAGAACUGCCUUCGAUACUGGCGAUCUCGAGUUCGGGAGAGGUGAGUGGAACUGCGAGUGUAGAGGUGAAAUUCGUAGAUAUUCGCAAGAACACCAGUGGCGAAGGCGGCUCACUGGCCCGAUACUGACGCUGAGGUGCGAAAGCGUGGGGAGCAAACAGG